GGCUCCCACAGUGCAGCUGGGGGCUGAAGGGCUCCUCAAGCGAGGCCAGAGUGGGCGCAGAGAGCGAGUGAGGGCUGCGAACACACUGUCACCUCUCACCGCCUGCUUACCUACCACUGAGAUUGUUCCUGCCACUGUCAGUGAUGCUGAAUGAGUGCUUCAACAACUGUUGGGAAAGGAGAAAACCCAUUUAGCUAUGUCAGAAGAUCUGCCAGUCCUCACUGUCUGUUUCACUGUGGUAGAACCUUCACACCGGAAGAACUAGGAUGGGAACAUCUCCAGGGGAGAGAGAAAGUGGGAUCGAUGAAGACAGAAAAAGGGGUAAUUUGUGACGUCGCGUGCUCAUGUUAGUGACAGUAACACAGUACCAU
RNAcentral lists this long non-coding RNA (371 nucleotides) under Homo sapiens (human). RNAcentral's name for it is "non-protein coding lnc-PGPEP1L-18:1". Lineage: Eukaryota; Metazoa; Chordata; Mammalia; Primates; Hominidae. The record is from RNAcentral.